This 230-nucleotide ribosomal RNA is filed under the name uncultured Caulobacterales bacterium. RNAcentral's name for it is "partial 16S ribosomal RNA". It matches the Rfam family "Bacterial small subunit ribosomal RNA", at positions 89 to 334 of the family's 1533-position model. Lineage: Bacteria; Pseudomonadati; Pseudomonadota; Alphaproteobacteria; Caulobacterales. The record is from RNAcentral.
CGGCGAGCGGCGGACGGCUGAGUAACGCGUGGGAACGUGCCCCAAAGUGAGGAAUAACUGCCCGAAAGGGUAGCUAAUACCUCAUAUGGUCUUCGGAUUAAAGGAUUUAUCCGCUUUGGGAGCGGCCCGCGUUGGAUUAGGUUGUUGGUGAGGUAAUGGCUCACCAAGCCGACGAUCCAUAGCUGGUCUGAGAGGAUGAUCAGCCAGACUGGGACUGAGACACGGCCCAG